AGCGAACGCUGGCGGCAGGCUUAACACAUGCAAGUCGAGCGGGCAUCCUCGUGGUGUCAGCGGCAGACGGGUGAGUAACGCGUGGGAACGUGCCCUUCGGUUCGGAAUAACUCAGGGAAACUUGAGCUAAUACCGGAUACGCCCUUUUGGGGAAAGGUUUAUCUGCCGAAGGAUCGGCCCGCGUCUGAUUAGCUGGUUGGUGAGGUUACGGCUCACCAAGGCGACGAUCAGUAGCUGGUCUGAGAGGAUGAUCAGCCACACUGGGACUGAGACACGGCCCAGACUCCUACGGGAGGCAGCAGUGGGGAAUAUUGGACAAUGGGGGCAACCCUGAUCCAGCCAUGCCGCGUGAGUGAUGAUGGCCUUAGGGUUGUAAAGCUCUUUUCUCCGGGACGAUAAUGACGGUACCGGAGGAAUAAGCCCCGGCUAACUUCGUGCCAGCCGCCGCAGUAA
This 453-nucleotide ribosomal RNA is filed under the name uncultured bacterium. RNAcentral's name for it is "partial 16S ribosomal RNA". It matches the Rfam family "Bacterial small subunit ribosomal RNA", at positions 29 to 523 of the family's 1533-position model. The record is from RNAcentral.